Molecule: long non-coding RNA, 12556 nt
Organism: Anguilla anguilla (European eel)
Lineage: Eukaryota; Metazoa; Chordata; Actinopteri; Anguilliformes; Anguillidae
Exons: 2
Source: RefSeq, a predicted model, not a curated record
UAACACUUCAAAGGUGUGGGGGGGUGUUCUCAGAUCCUCAGCAGUAGCAUCUUUUCGUGGUUUUUUUUGUUUCAUCAACCAUUUCUUUUUACUACAGGAAAAUAGCAUACAUGUGUGUUUUGAGCAUAAAGUGUUUUGAGCAUAAAUGCAUUUUUGUAGAAGUGUCUUUUGCAAUGAUUCUCAUUUUGUGAAUCUGUAUUGACAUAGCCAUUAGCGUGGAGCAGUGUUAAUAUUUAACCAUAAUGGUUUAUCCACUCCAAUACUUUUUUUUUUUUUUCGCCAGAGUCACUGCAGACUUAAAUCUUUUGUCUCAUGCGUCUUCAUGCAUUAAUUACAUCCCCGCUUGCAGAAGAGCAGACCGAACCCCGCUGGUUUAGCUCUGUGUACCAUUCGCGGUUUGACUUGUCAAUUAUGUAACUUGAGAGGCUCCUGCCAACCCAAAGGUGAGACUGCAUGGUGUGUAGCAAUGUCCUUAAAAAUUACAAGAAGGCUUCAUCUUGUGCAGUGUGUGUGUGUCUCAGCAUAUACUGUGGUUGCAUUCGAGUUGCAUUGGAGAUUGGCCGCUGCAGAGCUGAUGCCAGAGGCUUGUAAUGGGGAAUAAUGGGGCCGUAAAUGAAGAGCUACGGCUAGAUUUAUGCCACAGAGCGCGGGUUCAGCGCCUGGCCACGCAGGGAAGGCGUGAGCGGCGUGAGCGCUCUUUAGGGAUCCGCGGCACGUGCCGCGCGGAGAGGGACGCGGCUGCUUCGCGCAGAAGGGCGAAAUCGGAAACGGAAUGGAAAAGGCACCUGCAUCCUGUCGGUUUGUCAUUUUUUUUGUUAAUGAAGUUGGCGCGCCGAACUGACGGUCUUUGGGAAGAGUGGGCUUCCAAGAACGCAGGCUCCUGCUCCCCUAGCAUUAGCGUUAGCGUUCAGUCGUUUCACUGGUGCAGCUGCGGGCUUCUUGUCCUCUCUACCCCUCUCUCACUCCCUAGCUCUAUCUCUCCCUCCCUUUCUCUCUCUCUGUAGCUUUUUCUCCCUGCUCUCUCUUGCUCUCUCUCUCUCCCCGUGUUUCUCUCUCUCCAUCCCCCCCUCCCCACCAGGCAGCGCAGCACCAGCACCAGCAGCAGCAGAGACGGCACCAUCGUGGGCCAAAUCCAAUCAGAUCUUAUUAGUUUUCCACUGAUCCUCCGCUCUGCUAGCCCUGACGCACCGCAGCAAUGAUGGGUGACAUGAUUGGGGUUGAUUUGUACAGCUAAGUGGGGGGGGGGGAGUCUCUCUGUAAAUAAAGCAGGGUGGGGGGGCAAAUCUUUUCUCCUGCAGCAGAUUUUAUGACUUCCCUUUAAAAUGUCAGAUGGUGAGAGAGGGCUGUAAAACUCCCCCUGUCUGUCCACCCUCCUCAUCAUUAGCGAUGGCUGAUGGGGUGUGAAAACAGGCGGUGAAAAGUCACCGCUGGGCAUUGACUCGCCGUCCGUCGCUAACCCCUCCCGCUCCCCCCCUUCCUUCACCUCCGGUAUGACAAUCUGGUUUCGAUGUGGUAAAAAAAAACAAAAAAAAAAACAGUGGUGCGAUUUUUGACAGGGCUGUAGUUUUGAUUGUUUCCCACCAUGCUCUGGGGGACAGGGUAAAUGUUCCACCCCUCAUAAACAAGCAAAAACAAAACGCUUGGAGCUGGUGGAAUUGGGGCCAUGCAAACUCUACAAAGUUUGCGGGUGACGACCGUAAAGCCUCACUUUGGGGAACUGCGGUUGUUCCAAUGUGGCAUAUGAGCAGAGGUGUGGACACAGCCUUCUGUGGGACUGUAUGAAGCACCGGUCCUUUCACGCUGAUAAAGUCUGUUUGAACUGAGAGGCCUCCUGGGAAUGUGAGCACCUUUCCUGCGGAGGGAAAAAAACGACCUUGUCUUCGAAGGCCUCGCAAGACGCCUUCCGCAAGCUGUGGACAGGCAGGAGGCAGGGCAGUUACCCAGCAUGCUCGUCACCUGUCAGUGCAGCUGGGGAGAUGGAGGGCGCGUGUCACUGCUCUGUGCUCCGCGGGAAUUAGAAUCGGUCGGCUGUUUCUCUUGAUGCCAAACAGUCCCACGGUUUUUGGUAGCGGUGGGAAUGUAGCUCUCUGGGGCUUGGGUUGACAGAAGGGUCCUGGCAGGGAGGGAGAGAGAGAGUGAGGGGGGAGUGAGAGAGAGAGUGAGAGAGAGAGGGGGGGAGAGAGAGAGAGAGAGAGAGAGAGAGAGGGGGGAGAGAAAGAGAGAGAGAGAGCUAUGGAAGGAAUUGCUGCACGCUAGGAACUCUGUUGGCCGUGCGUCAGGCUUUACGCGUCAUCAUUUUUUGCUUUUUCCUCAAGAUCCGAGCUCCCCUUGUCAGGCCAAGGUCAAGUGUGACACAGCAGCGUUCCCUUGAGUGAUGGCCCGGUGCUCUUCCCCAUAUGCCGUUGAGACCAGUGGUCAAAUCGAACACGUGCAACCGAAUGGGCGCAAUUAGGGCGCAGUAUAUUGAGUGUCCCGACUCUAGGUAAGCACCUCUGUCAGUCUCUUGGGGGGGGGGGAGGGCAUUUCUCCCGGAACGCGAAAGUGAAACCCUAGACAUGAAGCCAUAUUUCUGAUAUGGAAGCUUUCCAAGACAAGGAAGUUUUUAAAUAAGGUCACGGCCAGCGGUGAACCGUGAGCAGGCAGCCUGGAUUAAAGACCCAAUGAGAAAGGAGAAAAGACUCAGAGCUGCACAUAUUAAAGUAAUCCAUUUAAGCCUACAGCGCUGAUUAAUCUGGGAAGACUGCGUGAGGGGAAACGUGAGGCGGUGUCCACGCGAGUGACACUUCCAUUGAACAGGAAGGCCUGUCUCUCGGACCCCAGGUCCCUCCGUGGCCCGAAUCCUCGCUCCCCCCAGAUGAAUGGAAUUCCAUUACGCCCCUGUCAGCCUGGCCCCCGCUGCCUCUUACCCCCAGCAACACACAGCUCCUCUCUCUGUCCCACAACAAAAAUGCUAAUCAGAUCCUUUAUCACAGGGAGACAGGCGAGAGAAGGACGGCUCGGUUAGCUUCCCUCCUGGAAAGCGAUAAGAAGAAACAAUGCCUGACGUUUUAACGCCUUUCUGAAGGCGCAUGCUCUAUCAGGAAAUUGCCCUUUGUGCUAUUCUGGUGGAAAGAUGUUGAGGGGACACACAUGGUAUGGGGCUUCUUGGUAAGGAGGGUGGGGAGUGGGGGGUGGGUUUUCGCUGGGAAAUAAGUAUUCGGGAGGUACUAAACAAUAAGGCGUGUAAUAACUUGGCAAUGGGUGAAUCAUGAUAUCUUGCCUUUUCCAGCAGGCUCGCCCACACAAUUUCAAUUGAAGCAGUAAUGAGAAACCACCUGCAGAGGCUGUGGUGCGCGUGGCUAUCAUUUCCCCGAUGCCUGUUAUUAUUCAUUAUUUGCAGACAUCUACAUACCCGCGCAGUGAAAACAACUGAGUGGGUAUAUCUGAGCCUCGCCACAGUCAGCCUCGUUGGCUUUCUUCAACUGGUAAUGAAUAUCCGGGGCCCACAAAAUUAAUGAUAAAACGCAAAGUGGGAUUAAUCUACUUGUAUAACGGAGGAAUGGUUUUAUUGGAUUACAUUUGAAAGCAGUAGACUGGUAAAGUACGGAAGGCCGUAGCCCAGACGCAUAAAACUUAACCACCUGAUCACGAGGUCUACGUACUCCCACCCAAACCCCCUCCAUGCUGGUUUCACCUUGUCCGUGUUGUAUCUCUGUGCUGUUUUUAAGGACGGGCAUUACAGUUGUCCUACUGCUUAGUACCGUUUGUGAAAGUGGACGGAAGGAGAGGGAGAGCAUUCUAUGGGGAGCUUUCUCUAGCAACCGCCUAACCUGUUGUACCAUGGAGACCACAGGGAACGAAAGCUGCAAAUUAUUGGCAAGAAGGAAUUUAUUUUUAGAAAAAGAGGUGCACACCGAACACCGUGUAGCUUGACUGACUGGGGCGUACAUGCCUUGCAACAGUUGGAUUACAGGCUUCUCUCCAGAUCUUUCUAAACGAUGAACAGGAAAGACAUCCUGACUGUGUAAGAGAGUGGCAUUAUCUCCAGAUUGGAUCCUGGCCAUUAGCACCAGGCUGUAGCCAGUGCCAGUCAGGGCAUUUAUUUAUAACUGUUUUGGGCUGUCUGCAAGAGGAAAAACAGGAAAGUGUAUGGGGUAACUCAUUCAUCCAUUCAUUCACUUAUUCUUUAUUUCAAAGAAAAGCAACUAUGUUGGUUCCUGGCAUGGUCUGAUGCAGUGCGGGAUACUAUAGUCUGUAGGUAAGUGGUGAUUCGAGAUGGACUGAAUGGCUUGUUUCUCAUCACUAGGUGUCCUUCUUUCUGUCUUUUAUAUGCUCUUAGGCAAUUCAGUCACUUGGACAACUUGGCCUGGACUCAGCUAUCUGUUUCAUUUAUUCAAAAUUAAGAGCGAAUAUUGACUUUUUAAAAAUAAAAAAUACAGACGAGUACAAUGGUCAUCAAAAAUGAAUGGAAAAGUUGUGCCUGUAAAAAAGUAACACUUACAUUUACCAUAUUUCAAAGUCAAAGCCAAGUACAAAUGCUGAUUCAGUUUAGACCCUUGGUACAGAAUGAGUUCCAAGUGGAAUAACUCAUUAUGGAAAUAUGAGUAUGCGUGCUUAUGUUCUCAUUCUCUAUAUCUUUCUUGAAUUAGAUAAUUCAUUGGAUCUGUACCUUUCUGUAGCACCAGCUUUCAAAGUACAGCACACACUGAGGGAGUCCAACCUCACACACCUCAAUGACUGCACCCCAGAACAUCCCUUUAAAAUUGUUUAAUAUGGGGGGUGUGGGGGCGAGGUGAGAGUUACUCAUGACAGUCACACUGAGGGUGAGCAGUGGGUGAGCAGCCAUGGUAUGCUUCGAUCAAAAUCAUUCACAAAUCAUUCAUCAUGCUACACAAUAAAAUGUACAGUGUUAAUUCAACUCUAAAUGGGUACAUAUCAAUUCAAUAGCGUCCAUAUGUACUCUGUAAAAGUUGAUUUGAUACUGAACAUUUUACUGAGGGUUUAUGGAAAAGGCAGACAAGUUUAAAACAGGAAUUGGUAACUGGUCCUUCAGUGACUACCAGUCAUAGUAAGUGGCGGUUUGGAAAUAGUUUUGAGUGAGAUACAUUGUUGGGCUGUCAACAGGGUGAUGUGUUACCAGUCCAGAGAUGCGUCUUCUGUCACUUGACUGACAGUAGCCUCAAUAAUCUUUGAAGCAUGGGAAACAUGUUUCCCACAGUCCAUACAGCAGGAAAAAAAAAAAAAAACUUUGCCCUGAUGUUCCUCUUAACUUCAGAAAUGCAACAUCAGCAGGAAACUUAAGCAAGAUGUAGGGAGUAUGGUACAAGCAGAAUUAACUAAGAAGGUAGGUGUUUAACUGCCGCUCAUUGCAAUAAACAGCUAUGUCUGCACAUUCUCCAUCUAAUGAAACAACCUGUCUCUGUCUACCUCUAUCUUCCCUUGCAGACAGGUAAUCUGCAAGCUUGUUGAAACAUACAUCUUACUCUGAUUAAUUAUACUAGGAAAAUGUAACUGCUGUUGGAUGCCUGCAGGUGAAAUUAAUUUUAAAAGGCAGUUUUCUUCAUUUUUUCCCCUUUUUAUUCUUUUUUUUCUUUUACAAUAAUUAAACCAGUAAAAUUACUCUUUCUUACAAAAAAUCCUGCAAUAUUACAGUAAUUGGUAAUUAAGCCAGCUAAGCUAGAAUUAAACACAGCACUAAUAUUCACACUUUCCUCACAGGCUCAAAGUUUAGACUUGGCUGGUAGUUUUGCGAAAUAUACUUAAAACCAAUGUCAUAGGCUAGAACUGGUUAUGGGAAAUUUAUUUCAGUCUAUCAGUCCUGGAGAUUGAAGAGAUUAUUGUGUCCUUAUCACUCAGAACCACUGACACUGAUCAGAAUGAAUAAUCAUGUCCAUCGGUUUGACUGAAUAUUUCAGAGGAAGGCAACGAAACGGUGUGACUUUAAGACCCUAGGCGCGAGAGUGCGUAAGGACUGGCGAGGCAUGACCUAGGUGUCAGAAAUGUUGGAAAAUUCGCAGCUGUGUGUCACAGCUUGGAGAUCUUAGUCAACAUGCAGGUUAAUGGGCUGUUAGCAGCCGAAGCCCCACGGUAUGCCAGGUGCUUGUUGCUAAGAUUGAAAAUGAAAUGUCACCAGGAAAAAAAAAACUGCAAAACAUAGAAAAAGAGCAAUUUUUGAUUUUGUGAACAAGAGUUCAACAGAGGACAACGGAAGAUGCUAAUUGGCCUUGCACCUCCAAACAUAACUUUGCGAAAGGUUUCCUCUGUCUCUCUUUACGGCUUUGUCUUGUUUUUUUAACACACCCUUUAACCUCACUGUUUGGGUACAGCCGAUUCUGAGUAUGACACAAUAACAGGUGCAUGGGCUCACUGGAAGUGUAAGAAGGGAGUCAGCAGUCGGUUAUGAAUCAGAAUAGUCACACAUGGAGAGUGCACGACACCUAAAAUAUCAUAAUAUCAGUUUGCGGGAAUCUUUCCGUAAUGUCGAGGAGAAAGAUCUCACUGAGUCAGGUUCACAAUCAAACCUAUGAAAUAUAAUGUCACGUUAUUUUUGAAAUAUUUUUUAGAUUGCGUCUUAUUACAUUUUUACAGCAUCAUAUUACAUUUGCUUCCUUGAACCUCAGAGAACAUUGAACUGCAUUUAAGAACGUCUCUCUAGGUUUGAUAAUUUCGUAUUGCACUUAAUAUUUUAUUACAUUUUAUAAUAUCAUAUUUUCCUUCGGCAGCACAGAGCAUUUAACUGGAAGGGAAAAUAGAUAUUUUGUUGCCUUCGUUUCAGUCUUGGGCGCCUUUGUACCUCAUGCUCUUCGCUUUGUAUUCAGAGCAAUUCAUGCAUGCGAAGGACAGAGCUCAAAAAACCCGUCACGUUUUCCUGCGUGCGGAUUUAUUAGCGACUUAAUUCUUUUUCGGCUCAUUAGCAUGUUCGUAACAAGGUGCAACAGCAUCUAAUUCCUCUGGGGAGCGGAAAACUCACGUUUGAGCACUUUCAGCCCCUUCUCAGUUAUUUUUUCCAAUUUUCGUCGUCUCUCAGGCGAAAACGGGCUUUGUGUCUUGUCGUACGUAGCGCACCUCCGUUCUUAGAUAUUCAUUUAAUUCUGGCUCUCGCCUUUACCACCGAAGCCCAGCUGCGCUACGGCGGACUGCCUGGGUUCAGCCAAUUUGCGCAAUGCAAACAAAACGCCCAGUAAUGGCCGUGACCAGCAGACACGACAGGCUUAUGACCAACGGAACAGCGUGCUGGUAUUGAUUUCUUGGGUUUGAUUCGCUGCUCACCUACCCCAGCCCCUCCCAAGUUUGCGUGCCCCCAUCAGAGAUUUGAAAGCCAAAAACGUCCCUGUCUGGUUGGUUUGUGGGGACAGUGGGACGGAGAUUUUCAGGGAUUUGGGGAUUUGAGAUUGAACUGUGAGAAAGAAGGCAUGAAAUACAGCAAUCUAAAACUGGCUUCGACUGAGCAUGGCGGUUUCACCGGAGCGCGGGAGUUCCUGGAAGAGCUCACGAAGCGAAAGCAUGUCUGCAGCAUCUGCUGAAGGCACAUAAGCACAGCAACAUCUGCCCCCCCCCUCCCCGCCUCGAACGCUCAAUCACUCGCACGGGUCCCCUCCUCACGCCCGGGUGCAAUCAAUGCGCCGGUCUGUUCUGUUGCGCCCCUGACCCCCGAGCAUCGUAAAUUACCGCUCGGAAUGAUUGCGGGCGAAGGGAAAGACCGUUAAUCACAGGAUGCUCGUGUGGUGAGGAUGGAGACGACAGACAGAUUUUUCACCAGUAAUGCUGCGCUGACUUUCGCUCACCGGGGAAGAUCUGUUGGCCGGGGAAGUGUCAAGGCGUUACGGAAUAGCCAGGACAGGCUCCACAGCAAGAAGGAUGUGACAGAGCACCACAAUGGUGUAAUUCAGGAGGGAGGUCUGGGUGUCAGGGCAGGACUCUUACGUUAUGAUGGGCAGAGGUGGUGGCAUAGAGCUAUGGUUCACAGCCCUGUAAGUGUCCACCAUGUUUAUCAUGGUCGCAGAUCUCCAGGCCUGUCUCUAAAAUGUAAAGACAAGGAGUGUCUCUAAAGUAUGGGAACAUGGAUCAACCUCAAUGGGCUAGUGAGCCCAUCUAGGAUUGUCAUUUGCCUCCAAGCCAGAGCGGGGAUACUCAGAUCGAAUUGUCAAGGUCAUGAGCACGGCUGGAUUUCUCUUUUACCUGAUAGUUAACUGAUUCGUUGACUGAUGUCCCUGAUUACAGAAGAAUUAUGAAAAACCAGCAGUAAUACUGGCUUCUGAGGCAAGAUUUGCAAAUCCCUAGAGUAUGGUAUCCAUCACUGUGUCCAGCCAAGAUUUGAGCAUCUCUACCUCUACUGUAUGACCUGACAAGAGGAGAAUAUAGGAGGACUGGCCGAGGAUGAGUUCAACAGGUUCGGUGGUCAGACUAGCUUGCUAAAUUUCUCAAAGUGGUAUUAGGUUGGAGGAUUUUCAAGGCUGUGCCUACAUAGAAAUCGACCUGGCUACACCUGCCGUCAUUGGACAGUGUCAGUCCCCACCACAGUUGCAUGAAGCAUCAUCCACUGCUCCACUUCGCCCAUGACGGCAGAAUCAAAGGCAGAGGAAAGCUUUGGUUUCCCCGCUUGGUUUAUAAUGGGCAACAGACCAUUAGACCAUUUCGUCUAACGGUCAGGUUUCUAUGGAAACCAGGUCACAUUUGAAGGCAUUUGGAGAAAAAUAGCCCAGGGGUGUCAGCCGGCUCCCUGAGUCAGCUUCACACUAAGGCUUAAUAAAAUCUGUUGGUCCAAUGAAAUUUUUCAAAAGGUCUAGCCUAAGCCCAAGUGAAAAAAAAAUCAUUCAGAAAUUCUGAGCAUCUUCAGUUUGGGAGACCCACACAUUCCUGUGGUCUUGAGAGUGUGGCGAGCUCUCUUUAAAGUUGAGGAUGACGGUGGAGCCGUUUCUCAUGUACAGACGCCGUGUCCCAACUUGCUCUGUCACUUUCAGAAACACGGUGAAGUUACUCGGGUCACACGGGUUUGCGGCAUCUCCGAUCAUUAAACGCAAUGAGCUGGAAGAGCUUUCGAGCACCUUUACAUCUCUGUCGUGUACGUGUAAUCUGGUAUUAAGAGGCAGGGGGAACCGGCCAAUCAGUCAGGCUCGCGUUCACGGUGGAGGGUCGCUGGCCCGUGAAAUUGCAUUACCUCUGGUUUUGAAAGAUUGCAGCUCUCGCAGGUUGCAUAUCGCGGGAGUGUUUGCGCCGAUGUUGCCUUUUAUUGUGCUCGCCGCGCUCCCCUACAGAUUCGCUUUGACGGCAGGCCCUGCCUGGCCACGCUUAGCGGUGCCUCCGAAUCAUCCAUCUUCUUAGGUUAAUACGAAUUCAUGUUCCCUUAUGAUCGCAGUUAGCCGAGUGGUUCAGUCAUAAUUUUACCGCUUGGUUCCCUGAAAAACACACAGUCACAGAAUUACAUUUUUCAAGUGCUAAUCUCUCCAAUCUUUCCCUGUUUUUUCCUUGCAUCUUACAGAUAAGACAUAUUGGGUUUUUUGAUUACUUGCUGCCCAUUUCAGGCCCAUAUCACAGUCUCUGUUCUAUCUUUAUGCACUGUGGAUGAGAUUCCCUGCGGAUUAAAGUCUUUCGUUGUCAGACCAGAUUCUGACAGAAGGCAUCAGGCUCUUUUGUUGGAAAUUAUAUUCAUGCACAAUGCAUUGAAAAAUGUCUCAGUUUCACAAAGUGCACUCAUCCAGUUUGAGGUUCCAACAAGAAUCGAAACUUAAGACAUGCAAUACACCUCUGCAUGCAUGAAAUACAGCCUCAUAUGCAUGCAAUGCACCUUCUCCAUGCAUGUUAUGUUUAAAAAACGUGGCAUCAUGCAAAUGGAAGAUUAUUCACAUCUUGAGAGAAAGUGAUUAUUCUGACACAUAGGCCUAUUGUACACCACCACGGUACACAAUAAAAGAAAACAGAAAACAACUAUAUAAAUACAUGCAAGAGCUGGCUUAUGCGCAAUUGUUUGGAAUGCUGUAUAAUAUUAUUGGUUCUGCAUCAUAUGGUAAAUUCAAAUUGAGUGUCAGAAAUUGCAAAUGCAGGUCAGGCCGGUCAUGCAAAGGCUGCUGUAGUUGUGGAUGUUGGAGACUGUUCAUGAGGGAGCAACAGACUUUCACCCCCUCUGUCUGUUUCGGCGCGCAUUCCUUAUUUCCACCGGGAUGGGAUUUUUUCCCACACGAAGUGAACAAGGGCUCUACAUUGCUGGAAUCGAUCCCUGUUUCCACCGCUUCCCACCAUGAGAAAGGUGAAUAAGAAUUCCCGCCUAUUGAUCCCUGGCUCGGGUCGUCUCCGGAGAGCGGUCGUUAAUUGAGCGCUAACCCUAGAGCGGGACCGCACUCGCUCACGCUGUGAACGCGGAGAAGCCCCCAGGAAGGAACGCAGCCGCGUGCGGUCACGGCUCAUUAUGCAUGCUUGUCUGGGGGAGCACGCCUCCUCCACAGCUCCGCUGGUCCGCUACAUCGCCUCCCCCACAGCUCCGCUGGUCCCCUACAUCGGCCCUCCCCCACAGCUCCGCUGGUCCCCUACAUCGGUGUCUGCAGCUACAUCUUAGGGGUCUGCUGGGAAAUAGAAAUUCCAAGGCAGACUCCAAGCACCAGAGAGUGCCUCCCUUUGAAUUUCACUGUGACAACAUGAUAGAAAAUGCACUGUAAUUACUACUAACGAUGCAGUCAUGCAUGCAGCUAAUUAAAUAAAAAGUAUGAUUAUAGAAGUUAUCUUUUUGUAUUGUGAUUUUCAAGAACUGAUAGCACAUAUAUUGUCUAAGAAUAUUAUAUAUAUAUUCUUGGUUAUUAAUUAUCAAAUGAACAACAUUAUGAAUGAAAGACAUUAUAUCAGCUCUUUCUUUCAGAAACUUCAACUUCCACAGACAGCUUUUUGAGGGAUUUUUUCAUUGGAAAUGUAUUUCUCAUCCAAAAUGGAUUGUGCUAUCUCAAGACGCUUUGACAUAUUUAUUAAAGGACCCUGUCAAAGACCUGAUAAAGUUUUUUUUAUCAAAGCUAUAAUUAAUGGGAUUUCUCCUAAUUGCAAUUUAACACAUCUUCAAGAAAAAUGCCAUAUGUCAUCAUGAUAGAACCGGUGUGUGUGUGUGUGUGUGCUCAGGGGAGGCUGAAUGUGUUGGUAGCAUAUUUCUCAUUAGUCUUACCAUGGAUAAAACAAACAAAAAAAUUUCAACUUAAGUAUCUCAUUCAUCCGGGAAUCUGGUGGUUGAGUGGUUCAUGCAAAGUGUUCAAAUUAGCAACUGGGGCAGCUGGUUCUAGCAGUUCCAAUCAGAGGCUUUGCAUUGUCAGUAAAUUAGUAUUAUGGGGAGAAGCUUUAGCUGUGAACAACCCAAAAUAACCCCAUGCGAGACAAAUCCCCAUGCCCAGAAAUCCCAUCUCCUUUUGGGAUAAUCCUACUCAGCAGACACCUCAUUCUCAGUUGAUUUUGGGUGAGUGUCCAAACUGAAAGUUUUGGACACAGAAUCCCUGGCAGAGAAAAAAAAAUAAAAUUUUAAAAAACAAUUUGUCAGCUAAACCAAAAGCCCAGGGAACCGAUAUGGACUGAACAGCAAGUUUUGAAGGCCCGAAAUAGAUCAAGCAUUAGAAUAGGCAAGGGUGUAACUUACGAGGGAAAUGGGAGGGGUUAUAACCCCCCAGUAUUUCUGUACAAACAUGCCAAAUAACUCCCCCAAUAAAUAUAGUGCUAUGAUGAGAAAAAUAAUUUCAUACAAUACUCGAUGGGGAUUUCAUGAUGCAAUUGGGAUAUAGGCUACUGACCAGUGAGGCUGAGCGUUACAUCAGGGACAAAAGCUCCAUCAAAGAUUCAAACCUCACAAUGUACGACUUGCUGUACCAAAACAAACUUUUAAGAAAUAAAAGCGAACCCCGGCACCCAUCUAUUAAUGUAUUUCAAUCGUAAGCUGUUUCUAAUUGUCGGCAAGUGCCCAUUGAUUUUUUGAGGCAUUUGUUACUGUUGCUAGUAGCAUGUUAUUUAAAUCAUUUCCCACUGCUGCACAUGAGAUCUAUUCAUUAAUGUAAGAAAUGAUUUCUUCAGCUUUUUUCCAGUUUUUCAUGAUUUUCAACAACUUAGCUGUGACUGCUCCACAACUUCAUUCAAUUUUUUUUGUGACAAACACCCAGCCUGAUUGAUUGAUCAGUAAUCUGAAAUAUUUAGAAUUCACCAAAGCUGAUCAUUUCACAGCUGUUCUUUUAAAAUUUUUCUUCUGUGUAGUCAUGCCUGCGGAACCCCAGAGAUGGUUGUAGUUCUUAGGGUUUAUGCAUUUAACCCCCCACCCCCCCAAAUAUUCAAACAGAGGUUUUGCCAUAGGCCAUGCUUGAGCAUAGGACCCCUGUGACAGGCCUUUUCCACAGAAAUGUUUUCAAAGUGUGAAAAGUGGGCACCAUGCCUCACUGGUUUUUGAGCCAACACCGUUACACAAACUCACUAUUUGCAAUGUUGCAAAAACAUUGCGUGCCAGCUGGGAUAUUGAUGUACCUCACAUUCCGCCCUGAAAACAAUCAGGCUUUGUGCUGAGCAUCUCCAGGUCUACCGCAGACCUAAAAAAAAAAAACAGCGCAGGGACCAAACCAUAUUCAUAUAA